UACGAAGGGUGCAAGCGUUACUCGGAAUUACUGGGCGUAAAGCGUGCGUAGGUGGUUUGUUAAGUCUGUUGUGAAAGCCCCGGCUCAACCUGGGAAUGGCAAUGGAUACUGGCAGGCUAGAGUGCGGUAGAGGUAGUGGAAUUCCCGGUGUAGCGGUAAAAUGCGUAGAGAUCGGGAGGAACACCAGUGGCGAAGGCGGCUACCUGGACCAGCACUGACACU
Molecule: ribosomal RNA, 222 nt
Filed under: uncultured bacterium
Lineage: Bacteria
Description: partial 16S ribosomal RNA
Rfam family: Bacterial small subunit ribosomal RNA
Source: RNAcentral